RNAcentral lists this ribosomal RNA (497 nucleotides) under uncultured bacterium. Its description in RNAcentral is "partial 16S ribosomal RNA". It matches the Rfam family "Bacterial small subunit ribosomal RNA", at positions 28 to 507 of the family's 1533-position model. The record is from RNAcentral.
GAUGAACGCUGGCGGCGUGCCUAAUACAUGCAAGUCGAGCGAACGGACGAGAAGCUUGCUUCUCUGAUGUUAGCGGCGGACGGGUGAGUAACACGUGGAUAACCUACCUAUAAGACUGGGAUAUCUUCGGGAAACCGGAUCUAAUACCGGAUGAUAUUUUGAACCGCAUGGUUCAAAAGUGAAAGACGGUCUUGCUGUCUCUUAUAGAUGGAUCCGCGCUGCAUUAGCUAGUUGGUAAGGUAACGGCUUACCAAGGCAACGAUGCAUAGCCGACCUGUGAGGGUGAUCGGCCACACUGGAACUGAGACACGGUCCAGACUCCUACGGGAGGCAGCAGUAGGGAAUCUUCCGCAAUGGGCGAAAGCCUGACGGAGCAACGCCGCGUGAGUGAUGAAGGUCUUCGGAUCGUAAAACUCUGUUAUUAGGGAAGAACAUAUGUGUAAGUAACUGUGCACAUCUUGACGGUACCUAAUCAGAAAGCCACGGCUAACUACGUG